This 253-nucleotide ribosomal RNA is filed under the name uncultured bacterium. RNAcentral describes it as "partial 16S ribosomal RNA". It matches the Rfam family "Bacterial small subunit ribosomal RNA", at positions 524 to 776 of the family's 1533-position model. The record is from RNAcentral.
UACGUAGGGUGCGAGCGUUAAUCGGAAUUACUGGGCGUAAAGUGUGCGCAGGCGGCGCCACAAGUCACCUGUGAAAACUCUGGGCUCAACCCAGAGCCUGCAGGCGAAACUGUGGUGCUGGAGUAUGGGAGAGGUGCGUGGAAUUCCCGGUGUAGCGGUGAAAUGCGCAGAUAUCAGGAGGAACACCAAUGGCGAAAGCAGCUCGCUGGGACGGUACUGACGCUGAGACGCGAAAGCGUGGGGAGCAAACAGG